UACAGAGGGUGCGAGCGUUGUCCGGAAUCACUGGGCGUAAAGGGCGCGUAGGCGGCUUGAUAAGGUUGCGGUGAAAGCGCGGGGCUCAACCCUGCGUCGGCCAUGAAUACUGCCGCGGCUGGAGCACUGUAGAGGCAGGCGGAAUUCCGGGUGUAGCGGUGGAAUGCGUAGAGAUCCGGAAGAACACCGGUGGCGAAGGCGGCCUGCUGGGCAGUUGCUGACACUGAGGCGCGACAGCGUGGGGAGCAAACAGG
RNAcentral lists this ribosomal RNA (254 nucleotides) under uncultured bacterium. Its description in RNAcentral is "partial 16S ribosomal RNA". It matches the Rfam family "Bacterial small subunit ribosomal RNA", at positions 524 to 776 of the family's 1533-position model. The record is from RNAcentral.